GAAAGUUCAAGGUCGCACUGUGUAUUCACUUGUGUUGUCGAGUCCCACUGCA
Molecule: small RNA, 52 nt
Filed under: Arabidopsis thaliana (thale cress)
Lineage: Eukaryota; Viridiplantae; Streptophyta; Magnoliopsida; Brassicales; Brassicaceae
Description: ATSL146420
Source: RNAcentral